UACUCCCUCGAGUGGAUCUUGUGCCA
Molecule: non-coding RNA, 26 nt
Filed under: Homo sapiens (human)
Lineage: Eukaryota; Metazoa; Chordata; Mammalia; Primates; Hominidae
Source: RNAcentral